GAAUUUUAAAAAUCCAUACAUCAACUCAUAUUUCUCUAAAAAUUAAUUAUUAAUCAGCCAUUAUAAGAAAAAAAAGAAAGAGAAAGCAAGCAAGCAAGGAAGAAAGAAAGAAAGGAAGGAAGGAAGGAAGGAAGGAAGGAAGGAAAGAAUAAAUAAAUAAAGGAAAGAAAGAAAGAAAGAGAAGAAAAAGGAAAAGAAAGAAAGACAGAGAGAAAGAAAGGAAGGAAGGGGGAGGGUCAGAGGGAAGGAAAGAAGAAAGAGUGAGUCAGACAAGGAGAUGUGAGUUAGCUUUGUAAAUAUCCAUAAUCCAUUUUUAACUAUAACUAAGAAAUCACGUUGUCCAAGGCCUUGGGAGUCCACUCCUUGUACCAGUAUGCCUUGGAUGUUGGACACGAAAUCAAAAGAGAUUAUUUUGGAGCUUUAAGUUUUAAUGACUGCCUUGCUGGGAUUCAAACUUGCUUGGGGCCUGUAUCUUCUUUCUUUUGGUCAAUUUCUCCCUUUUUGAACAGGAAUGCUUACCCAAUUCCUAUACCUCCAUUGUAUCUUGGAAGUAAAUAACCUGAUUUUUAUUUUACAGGAUCAUAGAUGGAAGGGACUUGCCUUGUCUCAGACAGGACUUGGGACUUUUGAGUCAAUGCUGGAAUCAGUUAAGAAUUUAGGGGACUGUUGGGAAGGCAUGAUACCAUUUUGAAAUGUCAAAAGGGCAUGAGAUUUUCAAAGGGCCAGAGCAGAAUGAUAUACUUUUCAGAAUGAUAUCCCCCAAAUAUCAUGUUGAAUUGUAAUCCCCAAUGCUGGGGUGAGGUCUUGUGGGAGGUGUUUGGAUCAUGGAGGCAGAUCUCUCAUGACUUGGUACUUACUUCAUGAUAGUGAGUUCUCAUGGGAUCUAGUCCUUUAAAAGUGUGUGGCACCUCCUCUGCUCACUCUCUUUCUUGCUCCUGCUUUUACCAUGUGACGUGCCAGCUCUCCCUUUACCUUCUGCCAUGUUUGGGAGCUUCCUGAGGCCUUCCCAGAAGCAGAUGCCAGUAUGCUGCCUGUACAACCUGCAGAACUUUCACAGGUUCCAGGAUAACCAGAUGACUGAGGAAUGUUGAAGAUUGCAGUGAUGGAAGUGCCUCAGUCAGCCUGGAAGACUGUAUGGAUGGAGGUUGCCUGGCCACACUGUCAUGUCCCUCUCUCCCUGAAAAAGAGACACAUUUGCCUUUGGGCAAGGCAAUACAUACAUUUGGUCUAUGUAUACACUUUGGUCUAUGCAUUCUGUUAUUUAACAUUCUAAUAAUGUUGAUGACCUUAAAAUAUGCUUGACAAUGAUCCGUGUAAAUCAUUAUUAUUCUGCCUUCUGCAAGAUAAGAAUUAUGGGCCAGGUAUGGCACUUAACGCCUAUAAUACAAACAUUUUGGAAGGCCAAGGCAGGAGGAUUGCUUGAGCUCAGGAGUUAGAGACCAGCUUGGGCAACAUAGUGAGACCUCAUCUCUACUAAAAAUAAAACAAAAAAAGUUAUGAGAGUGACACUGCACUCCAGCUUGGGUGACAGAGCGAGAUCCUGUAUCCAAAUAAAUAAAUAUCUAAUAUAGGAAUUAUCAAAUUCAACACAUAUUAAUUAUUUUCAUAUCCAUUUAUGGAAAAUAAUAAUGUGGGGAUGAUUCUUAAAAGGGAUUCUGGAAGUGGUUUCUUCAAUUAAAUAUAUUCAAAACUCAUUCCCGCUUACUACACAAAUCAAAGAGGAAUUGAAAAUGUGUGUGAUUCCCACUAAAUUAUUUUCCUUUCAUAUGGCUUGAUGUUACUGUCUUUGUGGAGUGGCUGAGAAAUGUCUCCUUCUUGCCUUUAUCUUCAAAGGCUCUGCCAAUGUGAAGUACAGGAGAGAGAGGCAAGAGCAGGGCCCACUAGUGGAAUCAUCUCAGCCUUAUUCCCCAGGGGAAAACACAUUCUUUUUCACUUUCCUGAGCUGCCUUAUCUGAUAAAAAUGAUUCUUACAUCUCCCAGCAAUGCCUUCUGAUUGUAAUGUAGUUUAUGCCACUGGUUUGCCUAUUUCUCAAAUAUAAACCUACACGCAUGUACACACAUUUGGCCUUAGCCUUUCUAAUUCCACUCUCAUCAGGACAGAUUGCACACCUGUAAACAUUCUUAGAUCAACUCCAGUAAUCAAUCCACAUUCAUGUAACCCCUGCAGAAUAAAGAUCAUUGGAGACCUUCAAGAUUGACUUCCCAUUUAAACCGUAAGAAAACAAGACCCCAAUGUGUCAGCUGCAGAACCACAAUAAGGACCUAAGUCCCAUGUCUUAUUGUUCAGUGGUUUUUCUAAGUCACUGUAAAAUUUUUCUACAUUCCUGGCCUGAGAACAGAAGUACCUUUUGCUUAUCUAUUCAAUUAAAUUCAGUAGUUGGUAAAUGUGAAUAAAGGAAAUCAAAACACUAUUGAAGAUUAUUUAGAUAUGGCUGAGAAGUGGGGUGAACAAACCUGACCCACUUUAACUUAGAGAUUCAAAAUAUAAACUUAACUCAGUUGCAGUCAACAACCUGACAUUAAAUGCAAACAUACAAGUAAAGAACCCAAGUAAACAGAAAAAACUAACCUGCUACCUACCUUUAAACACUAAAUAUAGAGCUCCUGUCGUCCUGUUUCUUACUGAUUUAUAACUUCAAAUAAUGGGUCAAGAAAAAAGCUACAUAUAUGAAAAGAUGAGAUCUGCGUUUCAAUCCAAAUCUUUCUUUCAAUAACCCUACUACUUGAAACCAUAGAAGGAGACAGGAACUUCCUCCCUUGUUUCUUUUUUCUUUUUCAAAACUACCCACUAAUCUUUUAAUUAAAAGUGAAUGAUGGAGAGAUGGCAAGUGAGCAGGAGAAGCUGAGGAACACAGCUCCCUUAUGUAUUUGCACAACGCUAAUCACUCUUCACAUCUUACAGAGAGAUCUGUACUAGUUACAUGGAAUCUAAUCUGUUCUACUAAAGCUGAUGCUGUCAGCUGCCAUGCUUAGCUCUCAUUCAUUAUGCUUGUAGACACAUUUUGAGAAAAUACAUUAUCUAGAAGAGAAACUUCUAAGAAGGUUUUAUAUACUAUAUGAUGCUAAUAUUUUAGAUAAUGUUUUAUGCUAGUUUAAUCUUUGUGUAUUGAAAGAACUCUGAUUUUCCUGGAAGUCCCUAGACAGUACAUUUAAUUAAUCUUACCUCUCAGUUCAACAAGUUGCCUUUUACUUUAGUCAUAUAAUCAAUCUCUUGGUAAUAAUAUAUAGUGAUAUCCAGGCAUGUAUGAUGCAAGCAAGUUUUUAGUUUAAAGCUAAGGAAUUAAAAUGAAAACAAUACAUAGUGCUCUCUGUACAACAAUGACUGAGAAUAGGUAGUCGUGCUCUUUAUAUACAAGGCACUGUGCUGAGCAUAUUUUGUAAGUUAUUGCCAUGAUUCCAUGUAAUUAUGUAUUAUAAUUUUACCUUUGAAGAAGAUAAGCCUCAAAAAUGGCAAGCAGUUCACCCACCCACAUUUAAAUGUCUGUUACACCUCUGAGAUAUACAACCCAUGAAUUCUACCAUUAUUCACUCUGUCUGUCAACUCCAUUCUGUCUUCAUGUACCUCCCAGCCCAAUUGAUGUGUCAAGGCAUUGGAUUUAAUUCAUUCACUCCAGAAAUAUUUAUCACAUGCUUAUAGGUGCUUGGCUCUCUUCUAGGUGCCCAAGUCACAUCAGUGAAAAAAAAAAAUAAACAAGAUCCUCAUCCUCAUCAAGCUUAUAUUUAUUUCCCAACAUCUGAUUUCAAUUUCCUUGCCAUGCACUCCUUUCAUCAUAGAAGCCUUACAAAAUCCCCAAUCCAAUUGAAUCUAAUUCUGUGCUUCAUGUUUCUCACCCUCGCUUGGUAAAACCCACAACUGUGCUUGCCGGAUUUUACCAUAAAUUACUAACCAUGAACUUCAAGUGGUCUAUUAGUGAUCAGUACCAACGCUUUAAUAGUUGUCUGCUCCUUUGACUCUUUCACAUUCCUAAAAGAUUUUCCAUUUUUCUCUGUCUCCUUCCAGCAACUCCUGGCCAAUUCUUAUCUCACCUAAUGACUUUGAUUCUUAUUAUACAAAGACAAUAGUAAAAAUCAGAAGAGUACUUAUACAAACUACCACCAUGAAAAUCAUCACUCUACCUGUAUCUCUCCCGACUCUUGAUCAUCCUUCCUACCACUGUGGAGAAAUUUUUCUGUGCAUUUUUGUUCUCAGUACUGCUGAAGAUUUUUUCCAUGCUUCUGUCCAAGGAGGGCAUCUCUUCACUAGAUCCCAGUUGUAUCAUUCUAGCAUUGGCGCUUAUUUUCUCGCAUAUCACUGGCUUUCCAAUUUUUCCCUUUUAAAAGGAUAAUUCUUAUAAAUUUACAGCUAUAAUAGAUAACAGAAAAAAGCCUCUCUUGAUCCAAGGUCUCCUUCCGUUUCCCACCCCAUUUAUCUCUUUUUCUUUACAUUAAAGUUUUUCCAACUGUUUCCAGUUUCUCCCACAGAAUUCUCUCCUUAAUCUAGCCCUGGAAGACUCUCAGGCCUAUGACUUCAAAAUGAGAUCCUCCACCCAGACCAUUAUUGAUCUCAAAGUUGCUAAGUUCAGGUAAAUUCCUGGUACUUGUCUUACUUGACCUCUGUGGUGCUUAAAUUAGCUGAUCCCUUUCCUUCUUGAAACACAUUGUCCAGUUUAUUUCCAGGAUGCCAUUUUCUUGAUUCUUCUCAUGAGAUUCUGCUCAGAUUUCUUUGUUUGAUCUUUCUCAACUCUCCAGCCUUUGAAAUUUGGGAUGCACUAAAACUCAGUCCAUUGAUAUUUCCUUUUAAAAAUGCCCAUUGCCCUACUGAACACAUCUAGUCUCGUAUCAUCUACACAUGGAUGAUUUCCCAAUUUAUAUUUCCACAUUUAAAUGCCUACUCUAAAUAUUUGCAUGGCUAUCUAAAAAGCAUCUCAAAUGUAACAUGCCCAUAUUUGAUCUCCCUCAUACUUCCCUCUUCCAAUAAAAUUUUCAAGUCUUCUUCUCAGUAAUGGUAAAUACUCUCUACGGCCAUAUCAUCCUGAACAUGCACAAUCUCAUUAACAAUGGCAAAUACUUUCUUCCAGAUGCUGAUGUGGAAAACCUAAUGUUCAUCCUUGAUUAAUAUUUUUCUCUUACAUCACAUAUCUCACCCACCCCUGUACCACCUGUUUCAAGCCAUCAUCACUUUACACCUGCAUUAUUGCAAUAUCCUCCUAAGAAGCUGCUCUUUUUUUUCACCACCUCCAACAUCAGCUCGUAACACAGCAGCCAAAAUGACCAUUUUAAAAUAAAAGUUAGAUCCUCUCUCUCUCUCAGUAUAAACGCUCUUUCUCAGAGUAAAAGCCAGGUCUAACAAUGGCACCUCAUAAUUGUCCAUCUUAUCUCCUGACCUCAUUUCUUACCUCUCUCCUUCUCUAGCUCUUUUCCUUAUACCCUGGAAUCCUUGAACUUGAUCCAGACUCAGGACCUCUUCCUGGAACAUUCUACUCUCUGAUAGCUCUAGAACUAGAAUAUAAGGUAAAUAACACUUGCUGAUUUGAAAAAUAUACUACAAACCUAAGUGGUUUAAUACAAUAUCUUUUUUUUUUUUUUUUUGGCUAAUAUUACAGUCCAGUGAGAAUAUGACAGCACCUCUGGUUAGCUCUCUUCUAAGCAGAGAUUAAGUCCUUGAUUUUGGUCCUAAAGAGAGAAAGAAAAAGCAAGGAGAAGAGUACAGUGAGUUUUAAGAGUCUGACCUGUAAAUGGCCUACAUUUUUCCUUCCCACAUUUCAACAACUACUGCUCAGUCUCAUGACUAAUCUAUCUGCAAAGAGAUAAAUUCAGAAGCACAAAGCUAGCCUAAAUAUUAGAAUGCCCCCCCCCCCCAGAUCUCUGCCACAUUAGUCCCCUGCUUUCCUCAGGAAGACAAGGGAAACUUUUUCUGGCUACCCUGCUUACAAGAGCAACACUUCCUAAAUUAAAUGUUGCUCAGUGAUCUCCAAUCCUGCUUGUUUGUUUGCUGGUUUGAGACAGAGUCAUGCUCUGUCACCCAGGCUGGAGUGCAGUGGUGUGAUCUUGGCUCACUCUAAGCUCCACCUCAUGGGUUCAAGUGAUUAUCCUGCCUCAGCCUCCCAAGUAGCUGGGAUUACAGGUGCCCAGCACUACGCCUGGCUAAUUUUUGUAUUUUUAGUUGAGACGGGGUUUCACCAUGUUGGCCAGGCUAGUCUCAAACUCCUGACCUCAAGUGAUCCAUCUGCCUCGGCCUCCCAAAGUGCUGGGAUUACAGGUGUGACCCACUGGGCCCGGCCCAAUCCUGUUUUUUUAAUGUCCCUGGACACCCAGCUCAACUGCAUGUUUUGCUUUUCUUAAAGUUAGGUGAAGUCAGGCAAUGGAGCUUUUAGACAAGAAAAUGCAUAUAAACUGAGUGGAAUUGAUCAAACCUUGUAAUCCUGCUUCCUUAAAAUGCCUGUGUGCUGUUCUCUACUCCCUUUCUUCAACCACCAACUGAACACAGGGUUCUAGAGUUCUCAGGAGGGCAGAUACAAGAGAGCAGGAGGAUGGGUUCCUGAAUGACCACAUGGAAGGCUUCCCACUAAUAAGAAAUCUUAGUAUUGGACUUCACAUAAACACUGAGAAAAUGGCUCUUUGGGAAGCCACUAAAAUUUUUUUAUUUAUCUGUUAUAGCAGUUAGUUAUAGCCUUCCCAAUUCAAUGUCCUAUGUCUCUGAAUGUGCUUUAUUUAAAACCACAUCACUUAUCACCAUCUGACAUAUUCUGUAUUUGCCUGUCACUUUUUCUCCUGUGUCUUCUGUCCAGAGAAAGUGUUGGCCAACUAUAACCCAAGAGCCAAAUCUAGCUUGCUUCCUGUUUUCAUAUGUAAUUAUUUAUUGGAAUAUAGCCACAGCUAUUCAUUUCUGUAUUUAGAGAGGAGCUGUGUCUAUGCUACAACAGGAGAGUUCAGUAGUUGCAACAGAGAAACUGUAUGAUCUACAAACAAUAUUUACUAUCUGGCCCUUUACAGAAACAGUUUGCCAAUGUUUGUACUAGAAUGUAAACUCCAAGAAUGUAAAACCUUUGUCUCUUUAGUUUGCUGUUAUAUACCCAGCAUUAGAACAGUCUCUGGUCCAUUGCAGGUAUUCAUAUAAUAUUUGUUAAAUGCAUAAUUGAAUAAGUGAAUGAGUGUGCAGCAAGCCAAAAAUGUUCCAGAAAAAAAAUUCAUAUCUAAAUUUCUUGAACCUCUGAAUAUUGCCUUACAUGAAAAAUCAGACAAACAAAAAUCAAUCAUUGCAUGUGAUUAAGUUAAAGAUCUUGACCUAAAAGAUUAUCCAGUAUUAGCCAGAUGGACUCUAAAUACAAUCACAUGUAUCUGUAUAAGAGGGAAGCAGAAAGAAAUUUGACCACACAGACAGAAAAGGAGAGGGGAUGUGAUCACACAGGCAGAGGUUAGACUGAUGUACCACAAGCCAAUGAAUGUUGGUGGCCACUAGAAAUAUUAUCUAAAGGAUUAGGAAUUAUCUGUUUAGAACUUUCCUGAUGGCCACACCCUCCAAACCCCCGAUACUGAUUUCAGAUUUAUGACAUCCAGAACUGUAAAAGAAUAAAUUUCUAUUGUUUAAGCCACCAAGUUUCCAGUAAUUUGUUACAGAGGCAGCAGGAAACCAAUACAGAGGGGAAAAUGACUUAAAACUACUUCUAAUUCCAAGAUAAUGUUCAAAAUGUUCAUGCAAAAACUACUUCUUGUGUCAACAUUCAGUCUAUAUAAGUGCUCUUGAAAUUAAUUAUCACUAUAAUUCAGUCUCAUGAGGAAAAAUAUUUUGGCUUUUUUUGUGAACCAAAAAUUUAUAGCAAUUCAUAAGUUACAGUUUAUGGAUGAAAUUAAACAUAUUUGAGAUUAUUUUUAUAUUAGCACUUUAUAAAUCAGUUGCUGAAAUAGUCUGUUUUGAAAUAUUAGAUAUAACUGCCAGGAAUAAUUCUGAUAUUUUCUUUAACACAUUUUAGUCAUUUCUUGAAUUGCAAUGUUUUAUUAUCAUAAAUUGCCAAACUAAUAAAAUUAAUUGCUAUUGAAAAAUAAGAAUUGUGAAUGUCUUCAGGGUGAGGGCUGAGCAUGUAAAAAGUUUUUUUUUUUCCUUAAAAAAAUGGGACUCAGGGGAGGAAGUUCCCUUCUUCUCCUUCAGAGAAUGUGGUCAUGAUCAUUUCUCCCUGCAAAGACCUGGAAAGGCUGCAGCCGUUUUGGAAAUACGGACUUACACUUGGCUGAUAGGCUGAGUCUGGGAGAGUGCAAAGAUGAAAAAACACCUAGCACAUGGAUCGUGUCACUGAGCUACUGAAUCAAUCACGGAACCAUGCUCCAUCUGUACUUUGUGUUCUCUCAUAGAAUAAAUGUUCACUUUGGGUUGUGUAUCCAUUACUUGAAGCUAAAAAUCUCCCCAUGUAGGCAAUGAUCACUACAAUGGGUUACUUACGUUUCUGAGUAACGUACUCAUUUAAUGAAAAAAAGAUAGAGCAAAGUCCUCAAUCAUAUUUAUCAAUUAACAAGGGUCUGACUAAAACUACUUGAGGUUCCAGGGAGAUAACGUGGGAACCAAGAUAUUUAAUUGUCCAUCUGCCAUUUGAGGAUUUUUUUUUCCCCACAAAAGGAAUCAAUUUGUGUAGCCAUGAUGGUGACUUCAGCUGAUGCCUCUGUUGAGCACUGGCUGUACUGUUUAAAUGAUAUACUAAAAUGGACAAAUGGGCAGAAGCUUCUUCACAAAGAGCAAAUCUAUCUCUGGUUUGCGUGGUAACUUUCAUGCCUGUAGUAGAAUAAACUUCAAUAUAUCCUAUUUAUAAAAUUGCUCUGAAAAUGGAAGACAUCUUAAAAUGUUGGCAUGCACUCAAUAAGGUGGUAUUCUCUCCAAAUUUAAUAUAAAAUUAAUGUUUUAAAAUUGACAACAUCUUUGAAUCUACAAAAUACAUGUGCCCCACUCCAGACCUACUGCCACAUUGACUCUAUACCUACUAAUCUAACAAAUAGUGAGCUUGUUUGGAUUUUGCCAAAAGCAAAUAUUUAAACAUGAGAACAGUUAAUAUUCCCAAUUGCUGCUUCAUAUAAAACUAAGCUAGCAUUUAUUUUAUCUCCCUGUCUUGUUCCUUGUGCACUGUUCUGGCUCUGUAAGAACACUAGACUUUGCAUGAGAAAACUAAGGAUUCAACUGAAGAUGAUUUAUUAAGUUGGUGAUUUAUUUAAGUACAUUUAUUGUCAUUGUUUUGCAACACAUAAUACAAUUUCCAAAAUAACUAGGAAUUGUUUUCUUCUAUUUUAUAUUGUUUUUUGAAUUUCCUCUAUGAAGGAAUCAUUUAACCUUUCAGUUUAGGCACUAUAUUUUUUACCUCAUUAUGCAACAGAAAUGUUUUGAAAGUUGUAGUCUGAAACCCAGAAUUCAGUCUUAGCUCCACAACUUAGUGGUUACUUAGCUCUUCCAAUCUCUGCAUUUGCAUAAGUUUGGGGAUAACCGUAAUUAAGAUACCUUACCUUAAGUGGUAAGAUUUGGGGAUUAAAUGACAAAAUCAGAAAAGUCUUUGUUUGUGUUUAAGUUCUGUAUACAGAUGUUCCU
This 9541-nucleotide long non-coding RNA is filed under the name Homo sapiens (human). RNAcentral's name for it is "HSALNT0248512". The record is from RNAcentral. Lineage: Eukaryota; Metazoa; Chordata; Mammalia; Primates; Hominidae.